UGGGGAAUAUUGGACAAUGGAGGGAACUCUGAUCCAGCAAUUCUGUGUGUGUGAAGAAGGUUUUAGGACUGUAAAACACUUUUAGUAGGGAAGAAAAAAAUGACGGUACCUACAGAAGAAGCAACGGCUAAAUACGUGCCAGCAGCCGCGGUAAUACGUAUGUUGCGAGCGUUAUCCGGAAUUAUUGGGCUUAAAGGGCAUCUAGGCGGUAAGACAAGUUGAAGGUGAAAACCUGUGGCUCAACCAUAGGCUUGCUUACAAAACUGUUGAACUAGAGUACUGGAAAGGUGGGUGGAACUACACGAGUAGAGGUGAAAUUCGUAGAUAUGUGUAGGAAUGCCGAUGAUGAAGAUAACUCACUGGACAGAAACUGACGCUGAAGUGCGAAAGCUAGGGGAGCAAACAGG
This 407-nucleotide ribosomal RNA is filed under the name Verrucomicrobiota bacterium. RNAcentral's name for it is "Verrucomicrobia bacterium partial 16S ribosomal RNA". It matches the Rfam family "Bacterial small subunit ribosomal RNA", at positions 355 to 776 of the family's 1533-position model. Lineage: Bacteria; Pseudomonadati; Verrucomicrobiota. The record is from RNAcentral.